GAUGAACGCUGGCGGCGUGCUUAACACAUGCAAGUCGAACGAAGCAUUUAAGACAGAUUACUUCGGUUUGAAGUCUUUUAUGACUGAGUGGCGGACGGGUGAGUAACGCGUGGGUAACCUGCCUCAUACAGGGGGGAUAGCAGCUGGAAACGGCUGGUAAUACCGCAUAAGCGCACGGUAUCGCAUGAUACAGUGUGAAAAACUCCGGUGGUGUGAGAUGGACCCGCGUCUGAUUAGCUAGUUGGCAGGGUAACGGCCUACCAAGGCGACGAUCAGUAGCCGACCUGAGAGGGUGACCGGCCACAUUGGGACUGAGACACGGCCCAAACUCCUACGGGAGGCAGCAGUGGGGAAUAUUGCACAAUGGGGGGAAAACCCCUGGAAUGCAGCGACGCCGCGUGAGCGAAGAAGUAUUUC
Molecule: ribosomal RNA, 417 nt
Filed under: uncultured bacterium
Lineage: Bacteria
Description: bacterial SSU rRNA
Rfam family: Bacterial small subunit ribosomal RNA
Source: RNAcentral